AGGAUUGGGUAGCUUUGGGGAUGUGCUGAGCUGGAUUUCCCAUGUCCUGGGUUUUCCCUUGCUUGUCUUGGGCUCCGGGAGAGAGUUUGUGGAGGAUUCGUGUUGUCCCUGUCCCCUCCCUGUGGAAAUGCAUGCCUCUGACAAUGUGGGAAGGUGGGGAGCAAUGACCAGGGUAGCCCUCACAGCCCUGCCCUAGGCCAGACGUGUCCCACACACUUGUCCUCCCACCCUGCAGUAACGGUUAUCUGCGCUGCCCCUGGUGCGGACGGGGCCUGGUGGCGAGCCCAAGUAGUGGCCUCCUAUGAGGAGACCAAUGAGGUGGAGAUUCGCUACGUGGACUAUGGUGGAUAUAAGAGGGUGAAAGUCGACGUGCUCCGGCAAAUUAGGUCUGACUUUGUG
Molecule: long non-coding RNA, 399 nt
Filed under: Rattus norvegicus (Norway rat)
Lineage: Eukaryota; Metazoa; Chordata; Mammalia; Rodentia; Muridae
Description: long non-coding RNA NONRATT004707
Source: RNAcentral